RNAcentral lists this ribosomal RNA (508 nucleotides) under uncultured bacterium. RNAcentral describes it as "partial 16S ribosomal RNA". It matches the Rfam family "Bacterial small subunit ribosomal RNA", at positions 28 to 523 of the family's 1533-position model. The record is from RNAcentral.
GACGAACGCUGGCGGCGCGCUUAAUACAUGCAAGUCGAGCGAGAACCAGAGCUUCGGCUCUGGGGACAGCGGCGAACGGGUGAGUAACACGUGAGUAAUCUGCCCUCGGCACCGGGAUAGCCCGGGGAAACCCGGAUUAAUACCGGAUGGCCUCUCGAGCUUUCGGGCUCGGGAGAAAAGGUAGCUUCGGCCUCCGGCCGAGGAGGAGCUCGAGGCGGAUUAGCUUGUUGGUGAGGUAACGGCUCACCAAGGCGACGAUCCGUAGCUGGUCUGAGAGGACGAUCAGCCACACUGGGACUGAGACACGGCCCAGACUCCUACGGGAGGCAGCAGUAGGGAAUCUUGCGCAAUGGGCGAAAGCCUGACGCAGCGACGCCGCGUGCGGGAAGAAGGCCUUCGGGUUGUAAACCGCUUUCAGGAGGGACGAAGCCACUCGGGUUAAUAGCCCAGAGGGUGACGGUACCUCCAGAAGAAGCCCCGGCUAACUACGUGCCAGCCGCCGCCGUAA